Molecule: long non-coding RNA, 8377 nt
Organism: Physeter macrocephalus (sperm whale)
Lineage: Eukaryota; Metazoa; Chordata; Mammalia; Artiodactyla; Physeteridae
Exons: 2
Source: RefSeq, a predicted model, not a curated record
UGUUGAUAGGCAUUCAUGUUUAAAAUUCUUGUUAUUAUAAACAGUGUUGCAGGGAAGAUCCUUGAACAGCACAUGGAGUGUCUGACUCAAGCUUUGAGUUGUUUUUCCAGGAGCUGAGAAUCAGCCUGGUGAUGACAAAAGAACAUGGACUUGGGAUCCGAAGACUCAAGCACACAUGCCCAAGGCAGCCUCCUGAUAUCAGGGCUGUAGGAUACUUUGAAGAAGUAGAACAGAAUUGGCCAUUAUGAAGACCAGACUCCUGACUUGCCUGCCUUCUGGAAAGCAAUAGGCAUUAAUUCCUUCAUUUAUUCAAGUAGCCAUUUAAUGAGUACUCACUAUUUAUUAUGUGCCACAGACUAUAGGAUAGAGCUUUUCCCAUCCAGGAGCUUUCAAUCUCAUCAGAGAUAAGACACACUCAUGAGAAAUAAAAUAUACAAGACAAUACAAGAGAGAAAAUAGCUGUCAAGCAGCCUAGACUUCAGAGGAGCGCUGUCACUUUCACUUUCAGCUAGAAUGAUGGGGAAAGGAUUUCAUCAUAAAGAUUUCAUGAUGGAAUUGGAAUUUAGAGAGCUGUGAAUGGCAGGUGUAUUUAGAUAGCUGCUGUCACAGCCAUAAUGAUCAUCUAUUUUAGCUUUGAGGGAGAAUCCCCUGCAGGCCAGGAUGUGUGCCUGGUUCCCAAAAAUGAAACUGAGCACAAUUUCCUCUAGAAACAUUGUUUUAAAUUAUCUAAACUACAAUUCAAUGACUGCAGCUAUGUUAUGGUAGCUAGAUUAUAAAGUCUAUAUUUAGAAAUGGACAUAAACUUUUGUGAUCUGAGGUAAGUAGCAGUAUGUGCCACUGAUGGGAAACUUUGUUCCACUGUUCUGAACAGCCAGAUCACAGAUGAGCUUUGCAGUACCACCUGUUCAAACAUUAGAAACUACAAUAGGGAGGCAUUGAAAGUUCUUGAGCAGAGGAGCAAUAUCAAAAUCUUUGGGGAAAGUUAUCUGGUACAAGCAUGCAGGACGGAUUUCAGCUGCAGAGCUUUAAAGGUUACUGCCGGGGGCUUCCCUGGUGGCGCAGUGGUUGCGCGUCCGCCUGCCGAUGCAGGGGAACCGGGUUCGCGCCCCGGUCUGGGAGGAUCCCACAUGCCGCGGAGCGGCUGGGCCCGUGAGCCAUGGCCGCUGGGCCUGCGCGUCCGGAGCCUGUGCUCCGCAACGGGAGAGGCCACAACAGAGGGAGGCCCGCAUACCACAAAAAAAAUAAUAAAAUAAAGGUUACUGCCGAAGCCCAGGUGUGAGGUAACAGCAGGAAGGGACAGAUGCAAAAGAUAGUAUGCAAACGAUAUCUACCAAAUUAGUGUUUUUUUAAAAAUCACAUAGGGAAUUCCCUGGUGGUCCAGUGGUUAGGACUCUGCACUUCCACUGCAGGGGCCCGGGUUUGCUCCCUGGUCAGGGAGCUAAGAUCCCACAAGCCACGUGGCACAGCCAAAAUAAAAAUAAAAAUCACAAAAUUUACCUGACAACUGGAUUCCUUUGCUAAUUCAGUAAGUAUUGUGUGCCUACUAGGUGCCAGGCACUGAAGAUGUAACAGGAGCAAAACAAAGCCCCACCCUCAGGGAGCUUAUGGUACAAUUGGGGAAGAUGAGUCAACGUACAUUUGAGGGCUUACUGUGUGCCAGGCACUGAUGGAGGAGCUGGAGAUGUAGCAGUAAAUAAAGCUUUAAAAUCCCUGCUUCUGUGGAGCUUACAUUCUGAGAAUGCAAAUAACUAUGUGUUAAAAGGAAAAACCAAGGAGUAAGGGGGACAGGAGCGUACACAGGUUUACAGAACAGAAAGUGAUGCCGUGGAGGGGUGGGUAUAUACUGUUCAUUCAAUAAGUUUGGUUGUGAAUGAAAAGAGAAAUGGAGUGGCUGGUGAGAACAGUGGGGUGAAUAAAGUAUUUUUCAGGAUAACGUAGGUAGAGGAUUGGCAGCCAGUGAACAGUAAGCACUGAGCAGUAAGGGUGGAAGGAAGAUGGGUUAAGAGCACUUUAAAAAGCUCAACUGGCAAAGAGGAGAGUGAAGAAGUGUGGUGUCAGAGGCUGAGGGUAAAGGAGAGGGACCCUCAUGCCUGAGGUGCCUCAGGGUAAGCAGUAGGAGAGACGAGGGCCAGUGCGGCGGAGGCCUAGAGGGAACCUGUGAAAUCCACAAUUCAGACUGGUCAGCAAUGGAUUCUAAAGUUGCUGAAAUAGGUAUCGAAGGAGGAAGCAUAUGCUGCAAUCAUGUAAUGGGGGAACUGGGUGUAAACAAGAAUUGAGAGGGCAGGUACGCUGAAUGUCGGACUUCAAAUGAGGAGUGGGAUGGGUCACCGUCCAACAUGCUGGUCCAAGAGGGAAGGACUGAAGGGAACCAUCUGGCCUCUCCCUUUGAUGGGACUGAAUUGGCCCUUUACCCCUCACCUGCAUGCCUGAGGCCAUAUCAAGAGACUUGGCAAUCGCCUUGCCCUGCCCUUUGGCAGCCCCCCCAAAUCAAGUGACCAUGAAGUUCCUUGAUUGCAGGGACCAUCCGGAUAUCCACUGGGGACUAGCACAUGGUAGGCACUUGGUUUCUGUUCAGUUAAAGUGAAGCCACACACAGAAUUUAAAGAGUUAGAAGGAACAUCAGAAAUAAUCCAGUUUAAAAAAAAGAAAAAAGAAUCUGGUUGAACUCUCUUGGAAUUUGCUUCCUGUGAGGUGUGGGCCAAAUUUGGGGUCUCUCACGUUAUCAGGGUCAAACCCCCUCCCACUAAGCCCUUCAGUAGGAUUUUUCUCCCAUCUCCGAGAUUAGGUCACGGUUUUCUAAGUAUGGGCUGGUGACACCAGGACUCCCUAUGACCCUUUCAAAGGAUCUGUGAAGUUGAAACAUUUUCACAAUACUGAGAUGUCAUUUGCCUUUUCCACUCAUUCCUUACAAGUGUACAGUGGAGUUUUCCAGUGCCUGCACGAUAUGUGACAUUGCAACAGACUGAAUGCAGAAGGAGACAUGAGAAUCCAGAAGUGAAGAGGCUUGCAAAAAUGCAGAGCAAUGCCACUCUCAUUAAAAUGGUUUUUGGGAGAUGCAAGAGGGAAGAGAUACGGGAACAUAUGUAUAUGUAUAACUGAUUCACUUUGUUAUAAAGCAGAAACUGACACACCAUUGUAAAGCAAUUAUACUCUAAUAAAGAUGUUUAAAAAAAAGGACCCAACACAGCCAAAAAUAAAUUUUAAAAUUUAAAAAUAUAAAUAAAUAAAAUGGCUUGUUUUGGAAAAAAUAUUUGUUAUGGUUAUUUAUGCUAAUAUGUAAUGGAUUUAUUCUUUUUAAACGAAUUAAUAAAGCUUUUAAAGUUGACCAGUUUUGAUGUCUAAGAUGGUAAGUAUCAGUAGGCAAAUUACAUAUAAGCCAGAGCUCUUUGGGUCCUCCAUCAUCUUUCACAGUGUGAAGGAGCCUUGAAGCAAAAAUGUUUGAGCAAUGCUGGGUUAGAUACUGCUGCGCCCAGCUUCCCACCUCCUUUUCUAUGGGAACCUAAAUGGUAAGAAAGAUCUAACGUAGCUUAUGACCAGGCUGUCAUCUCAACCAGAGCUCAGAGCAGCAUCACAAAGUGACCGGUGUUUCCAUGCAGACACACUCAGGAGUCUCACCCAGAAAUCCCACUGAGCUAAUAAUCCUUGGACCAGUUUUUCUAGUUUCCUAAGCUUUGUUAAUAUCAACACUAUCCUUCCACCAGGGCAGCCUGCAGGGAACCCUCCUAGCAGCUCAGAACCACCCAGUGAAAUAACUGAGCUCCACCUCUUCUGAAAGGUGAAACCUAAUCACUCCAGAGAGGCACACGCCAAGAACUUGACUGUUUCUUUUGUUAAAUUCACCUUCCAAAAGUAUUUUUAUAGUAUGGCCCUGGGACAUGGUGACCAGAGUUAUCAAGAAAUGUGGGUUUUUUCCAGUUCUGCAGCCAACUGGCCACACAACCUCAGAGAUGCUCCUUUCCUUCCAUACCUCAACUGUACUCCUCAUAAAACAGGGACAGGCUCCUGGCCUCUCCUGUCGGAAGCACUGCUCCAGCAAUGACAGGGGAGUGCUUUCCAGCCCAGGCACAGUGAAGCCCCAACCAUGUACUUACACACCUCUUUUUCAGUGUUUUAGAUAUUCAAACGCAGUAAUCACUCUGCAAGAAAAAUCUGAUUUUAAGUUAAUAGCUUUUCAAACUUCAGGCUCAAAAAAUUAACAUCUGUAAAUUCUGGGUCCAGCAAUUACCCCCUGAUAAGAGCACUGCAUUUGCAACGCACCUUAAAUGGUACUAGGUGCCCACUGUUCAGUCCCUUUUUGUCAGUAUACCUCACUUUAAUCACAUCAUCCACAUAUGCAGCACCUCCCGCGUGCCCAGCCAUGUAUGGAGGGCAUUACCUCAUUCACUCCAGACAAGCCUGUGGGGCUUGUCACUGUACUGUCACUGUACAGAUGAGGACAUGGGCUCAGAGAGGUUAGGGGACAUGCUCUGGCUUAAUAUGAAGUGGGCAAGGUUUAAACCUGACUUCCAAGUCUGUGAAGCUCCACUAGGGCGCUCUGUACUAGACUUUUUUUUUUCUUUUUAAACUUAUUUAUUUUUGGCUGCGUUGGGUCUUCGUUGCUGCACGCUAUCUUUCUCUAGUUGGGGCAAGCAGGCUCUAGAGCACAGGCUCAGUAGUUGUGGCGCACAGGCUUAGUUGCUCCGCGGCAUGGGGGAUCGUCCCGGCCCAGGGCUCGAACCCGUGUCCCCUGCAUUGGCAGGCGGGUUCUUAACCACUGCGCCACCAGGGAAGUCCCUGUACUAGACUUUUAAAGCAAUAGCUUCAUUUCCUUAAAAAUAUUUUAGAACCUAGAUCUUUAAGUUAGGCUGCUUCCUGUUUUUCUUAUUGUUCUUAUUUAGAAAGGCUUGUAGCAGUUAAAGACCAGUCUGCACAGAACUGUACUUAGAAGAAAAACAUUCCCAACUGCCUGUCUUGUUUUGAGAUCAGCUCUCAGUAAAAUAACGUCCCCAAAUCCCUGCCAAUAAAACAGUGUUGACCCUGCAGGUCCCUUGCCCUUCUCCCAAGCCCUCCGGCAUCACAGCAGUGGGACAAAGGGAACUCACCUUUGGUUCCUAGAAGGGACGUGAACCAUGUCACACUCCCCCACAUUUUAAAAUAGUCUUGACGCCCAUGAUUCCAGAGGCUCCUAGAGUUAAAGGGUUGAGAAUGCUCAGUUUAGUUUUCCCGGGAUUAGCUAAAGGCACACCAUUUUGUCACUGCCUUUCAAACACAUGGCAGAGAAAGACGGGAGUCCCCUCUCUAGAGGAUCAUGGGAGUCUUAGAAAUGUCUUUUCUAAAGACAGCAAGGGUCCCGUACGUGGGGCGAGGUAUGGAUCAGCCCGCAGAGCUGCUGGAGGAGGCCUCGGGUGGCUCAGGCCCCGGGCCAGUCACCUGGAGCCGCCUCAGCACGUUACCUCAUGUGCUGCAGGAUGUGAGAGGCCUGCAGGCGCCAGUCUAAGGAGUGGCAGGUGCUUGUGCCCAACUAGCCAGUUCAGUAAGAAUAAGAGAAAGGCUAAGGAUAUGGAUGGCUCAGACAGACCGCCACUUAUUAGCCUUGUGACUUCUCUGUGCCUCAAUUUCCCUCCUCAGGAAAAUAGUAAGAAACUACUCUGUAGGUUGAGUGGAUUAAGUGAAAAAAAUGCCAAAUGUCAUCUGUUAUAAUUACUAUUAACCCCCAAAAGAUAACUUUAAGACAUAUUGAGAGCUUCCACUCCAAAUUCCUCAUUAUACGGAUGAGAAAAUUGGCCUAGAAAUGUUGGGUGACUCGUCCAAGGCUAAACCAACCACCAGGGCAAAUAGCUUUGUUCUCGGCGGCCAAGCUCCAUUUCCUCCAGGAUGUUCGUUCGGUCUGGGCACCUGUUUUCAGGACUAUGACUCUGGCCUGACGGGGUUCCCUUUGCCUGCUCCACCGUCAUGGCUGUGACAGCCCUUCACAGCUCGUUUCCUGGGAGUUCACACCCUCCUUCCAGACUCAGGAAAUACAAUUCAGUAUGCUCGGGGAGCCUCUGAGUCAUCUCCGUCUGUAAAUCAACCUUUAUCCGUCUAUCCUCAACAGAGAGAUCUCAUCCUCCUCCAGUUUCUGGAACUGGAACUGGUGUUUUUCCUUUGGAUUUUGCUUACUGUCUUCCACCUCUAAGUACAUCAGGCUCCCCUCCCAACUUCAGACUGGGGACACCACCAGAGGUGGACGUAAGCCUCUAAGAUUCUAGAGGAAACACUGAAGACUUACCUCAGAGGCUUAAAAGAGGUCUCCCAGCCCACGACCCCUCACAUAGGAACUUCAUCUGCCUCCCCACAGCUAACUGGCAGAGGUGACUGCAUAUGCAGACGGCUUGCUGGACAUAUGCCCCAGGCAGCUGGGAGGAUGCUGAUGACCAUCUGAAUCCCAGAAGCAGAGGACAGUUACCAUGGCUACCAAGAGCUGUAACCACUGGCUGCCUUGGCUAUGGGGAUCAGCUCAGCUGACCUCUCAAGGUCCCUUCCAGACCUGGGAUUCUACAUUUACAGUGAGCCUGAUGAGACCGUGUCUGCUGCAAGAAAAUAGGAAGUCCUGUGACAUAUAUGGCUCAGGCAUAGAAAGCAAUUAUCUCAGAGGUCACCUUGUCUUAUUCACCAGAAGUGCUGAGUCACAAGGCUACUUUCUAUCUCUGCUGCAACAUUAAUAAGCAAAGCCUUGCUUUUUUUCGUAUAGCACUUCAGGCCCUUUAUAAAGUGAGUUUGCGACCACCAUGUUUAAUUUUUCUUCCUUUUACAACUCUGACCAGAAAUUUUGAUAGAAGUUUGUUCCAUAUUGUGACCAGGGAAACAGCCCAGAAACACUUGCGUCUCUGGGCCCGGAGGAGCGUGCUCCGUCAGGCAGGACGCUUGGAUCACGAGCCUUCUAAGAACUAGGAGGAAGGAAGUCAUUCAUAAAGUAGGCAGAUACUGAACUGCAACUUUGGUUUCCUCUGGCAAUUCUGAUUACAGGAAUGUGGUUUGUUCUUAUUCCAGAGAGGGGAAGAGUUUCUCUUUAAAACUUGACUCCCAGAAGCUCCCUACCGGUCUCAGGACAGAGCAGGGAGGUGGCUAAUUCGACCCUGGUAACCUCCACGGCAGGUGAGAACACAGGCCUGGCUGCACCCCUCUUGAUACCUAACCUCAGGACAGAGAAGGCUGUAGGUAUCUACAAGACUUCCAAGAGCAGGAGAGAGAUGCCCAGAAAUCAGACUGCUGCCUGUGCUUAUGAAAACAGCUGCAAGUCUUGCCUUGUUCCUGAUGCAAGAAGCUUCAUGUUUAGUGGAUGUUUGGAGAUUUUUAAAAAUCUGCUUAUCAAGAUUAAAUCAGGGCUUCCCUGGUGGCGCAGUGGUUGAGAAUCUGCCUGCUAAUGCAGGGGACACGGGUUCGAGCCCUGGCCUGGGAGGAUCCCACAUGCCACGGAGCAACUAGGCCCGUGAGCCACAACUACUGAGCCUGCGCAUCUGGAGCCUGUGCUCCGCAACAAGAGAAGCCGCGAUAGUGAGAGGCCCGCGCACCGCAAUGAAGAGUGUCCCCCACUUGCCACAACUAGAGAAAGCCCUCGCACAGAAACGAAGACCCAACACAGCAAAAAUAAACAAACUCCUACCCCCAACAUCUUCUUUAAAAAAAAAAAAAAAAAAAAAGAUUAAAUCAAAGCCUUUAUUAAACAUCCCUCCUUCAAACCACCUGCAUUUAAACCUAUACCCCUCUCCCGACUUGCGAACUGCUAGGGCUAUGUGUGUGUCAUUGUCACCUGGAGGGUCAGAUCCAGUUGGGCUACACAAUGCUGAAAAGCCACGCCAAGGCACACCACACUGGGCACACCUCCACGGUUCUGUGCCCGUCAGGAUCUAGGCAAAGGCUGGCAGCACUGGCCCUGGGACCAGAGCUCAAGCACAGGAGACCGGGAAGCUGAAGUCUGAGCCUCCUUGUUCCAGACCUAGCCAUGCAGAGCGGACAAGCAGCUCUUGGCUACCACUGGGUGAGGCUCACCCAUGUGCUUUUCCUUCUCGUCUCCAAAGAAAAGGGUGAGAGAUGGAGGAGGCAAUUUUCAGUUGUGUGUGGGUUUGAUUUAAGGCUUUGGCUGUGGUCUGCUGAUAUAUUAAAAUACUUUCUGGGAACGCCAUCUCCUAAGCUCCCCAUCAGAACAAACGUAUUUCCAAAAAUGAAAACAUUGAACAAAGAGGUGGAGCUGAAAUGCUGAUGCAGAGCCCAGUGGAUAGGCCCAGGUCUGUCAGGUCAGGAUGGUGUCGUCCACCUGCUCUGUGGAGUCGGCCUGGCUGGCCAGCUUCUUCAGAGACCUUCGGUUGCAUUCAUUCAGCACCUCCAAGCUGGCCACGUCCAGGAUCUUGCAGAGGGACUG